Molecule: ribosomal RNA, 254 nt
Filed under: uncultured bacterium
Lineage: Bacteria
Description: partial 16S ribosomal RNA
Rfam family: Bacterial small subunit ribosomal RNA
Source: RNAcentral
UACAGAGGGUGCGAGCGUUAAUCGGAAUUACUGGGCGUAAAGCGCACGUAGGUGGCGACGUAAGUCGGGUGUGAAAGCCCCCGGGCUCAACCUGGGAAUUGCAUUCGAGACUGCAUUGCUGGAGUACGGAAGAGGAAGGCGGAAUUCCCGGUGUAGCGGUGAAAUGCGUAGAUAUCGGGAGGAACAUCAGUGGCGAAGGCGGCCUUCUGGUCCAGUACUGACACUCAAGUGCGAAAGCGUGGGGAGCAAACAGG